Molecule: small RNA, 568 nt
Filed under: Pan troglodytes (chimpanzee)
Lineage: Eukaryota; Metazoa; Chordata; Mammalia; Primates; Hominidae
Description: processed transcript
Source: RNAcentral
CUUGCUGCUGCCUUUGAAAUAACUGUGCAGGGGCUGGGCGCAGUGGCUAACGCCUGUAAUCCCAGCACUUUGGGAGGCCGAGGUGGGCAGAUCACUUGAGCCCAGGAGUUUGAUAUCAGCUUGGCCAACAUGGUGGACCGGGUCAGCUACCUCCUGCAGGAGAUCUAUGGCAUCGAGAACAAGAACAACCAGGAGACCAAGCCCUCGGAUGACGAGAACAGCGACAACAGCAACGAGUGUGUGGUGUGCCUGUCCGACCUGCGGGACACGCUGAUCCUGCCCUGCCGCCACCUGUGCCUCUGUACCUCCUGCGCCGACACGCUGCGCUACCAGGCCAACAACUGCCCCAUCUGCCGGCUGCCGUUCCGGGCCCUCCUGCAGAUCCGGGCGGUGCGGAAGAAGCCAGGAGCCCUGUCCCCCGUGUCCUUCAGCCCCGUCCUGGCCCAGAGCCUGGAGCAUGAUGAGCACUCUUGUCCCUUUAAAAAAUCAAAGCCGCACCCCGCCUCCCUGGCCAGCAAGAAACCUAAAAGGGAAACAAACUCUGACAGCAUCCCACCUGGCUACGAGC